UCGAGAAUUUUUCUCAAUGGGGGAAACCCUGAAGGAGCGACGCCGCGUGGAGGAUGAAGGCUUUCGGGUUGUAAACUCCUGUCAUUUGGGAACAAGGCGCCGAAGUUAACUGUUUCGGCGUUGAUAGUACCAGAAGAGGAAGAGACGGCUAACUCUGUGCCAGCAGCCGCGGUAAUACAGAGGUCUCGAGCGUUGUUCGGAUUCAUUGGGCGUAAAGGGUGCGUAGGUGGCGCCGUAAGUCGGAUGUGAAAUCCUGAGGCUUAACCUCGGAACUGCAUUCGAUACUGCGGCGCUUGAGGACUGGAGAGGAGACUGGAAUUCAUGGUGUAGCAGUGAAAUGCGUAGAGAUCAUGAGGAAGACCAGUGGCGAAGGCGGGUCUCUGGACAGUUCCUGACACUGAGGCACGAAGGCCAGGGGAGCAAACGGGAUUAGAUACCCCUGUAGUCC
RNAcentral lists this ribosomal RNA (448 nucleotides) under uncultured bacterium. RNAcentral's name for it is "bacterial SSU rRNA". It matches the Rfam family "Bacterial small subunit ribosomal RNA", at positions 355 to 796 of the family's 1533-position model. The record is from RNAcentral.